Molecule: non-coding RNA, 16980 nt
Organism: Rattus norvegicus (Norway rat)
Lineage: Eukaryota; Metazoa; Chordata; Mammalia; Rodentia; Muridae
Source: RefSeq, a predicted model, not a curated record
CCCAGGCCCCGCGCCUCCCGCCGCUUCUUCCGUUUGCGGUUUACCGCAGAGAUGAAGGAGAUCGCCAGCAUCUCCCGGGCAUAAGGCUCUUUCUUGGGGACCCACGAACCCUGUGCAAGGAGGACACAGCGAGGAAGAUGUUACGAGUGGGUGAAGACAGACCAGAGGAUAGAAAAACGUAUUUGCAGAGCUGAUAAAGGAUUCCUGUGUAAAAUACAAAAGAACACUUGCACCGCAAAACAGGAGGAUAAACGAAAAUGGGCCAAAGACCUGAACAUCAAGAAAGAAACCACAGAUGACAAGUGAGCACAGGUGGGGACUGCAGCUGGGUGGUGAGCACAGGUGGGGACUGCAGCUGGGUGGUGAGCACAGGUGGGGACUGUAGCUGGGUGAUGAGCACAGGUGGGGACUGCAGCUGGGUGGUGAGCACAGGUGGGGACUGUAGCUGGGUGAUGAGCACAGGUGGGGACUGCAGCUGGGUGGUGAGCACAGGAGGUGGGGACUGCAGCUGGGUGGCAGAGCCCUUGCCUGGCACAUGUGAGGCUGCAGGGUCAAUCCCCAUAGGCCAAUGUGAAUGAGGCUACUGGUGGGGACACCACAAGGACACACAAAGGAAAACCACACAGUACCACCACACAGCCGGUAGGAGGAGGACGAUGAUAUCAGUUAUAUUGGACAACACCAAUACUGACAAGAACUGAACGCGGCUGAGGGGUGGGGAGGCAGAGGUAGGUGGAUCCCAAGCUUCUGAGAAUCUGCAGAGUUUAAGGACAGAUGGGGCUCCUCAAUGAGACUUUGUAUGAGAAAAAAGGAAAGAAAAGAGAACCCAAACAGAAACUUCAGCUUUCUUUCACUGCUGGAAGAGAUGGCAAGCCACUCUGGAUCACACCCAUGAUUGUUUGCUAAGCUAACAAUACUCUUUUCCUGUGACCUUGCAGUCCUGGUCAUGGGUGCCAAAAUCAUAAGUUCACACAGAUAGAUCUGCACAUAGCUGUCUGUGAAACAGCUUGAUUUGUAACAGCUGAGGCUCGAGGGCAACCACACUGUCUGCUGUGGUUUGCACAAAUCCAAGGGCAUCAAAGGCUUGGUGCCCAGGUGGCACUACCAGAAGGCACUUUAGGAGGUGGAGCCUUGUGGCCAUACCCCAGAGGGGAGGGUGGGACCCAGCCUACCUUUCUCCCUCUUUCUCUGUGCUCCCAAGCUAAUAAGGUGGACAGUUUUACUCCUCUCCGCUCCAGCUACAAUCACAAAGUGAUACCAGAGGCCAAAUGCAACAGAGGCACUGACACACGGACCGGAGUCAUUGGAACUGUGAGCCAAAAUAAACUUCCCUCGACAAGAGACACCCUCAGGUGUCUCACUAAGUGACUGAGCUCUGACGCAUAACUCUCAGGGGAGGAAUGAAUAAAUGAGCCCCGAUAUACCCCGUGGGAUAUUAUUUAAUAUCAGAUGGAAGCAGGCUAUGGUCAGGGAUGGUGGUACAUGCAUGUAAUCUCAGCACUAGGGUGACUGAGGCAGGAGGAUCUGUGCGAAUUCCCGGGCAAACAUGGUCUACACAUCAAGAUCUUGUUUCAAAAGCAGACAAGCAAAACAACAAUAACAACAACAACAACAACAACACCUAUUUACUGGGUCAUGGAAAGACACAAGGUGGGGGACUAGAGAGAUGACUCAGCGGGUAAGAGCACUGACUGCUCUUCCAGAGGUCCUGAGUUCAAUUCCCAGCAACCACAUGGUGGCUCACAACCAUCUGCAAUGGGAUCCGAUGCCUCUUCUGGUGUGUCUGAAGACAGCGACAGUGUACUCACAUAUAUAAAACAAAUAAUUCUAAGAAAAAAAAGACACAAGGGGACUAACUCACACCUCUGGAACCACUGCUGUGUCAUCUGUGUUGCCAAUGUCCACACUGCUUGACUUCAGCCCCAUGAUGUUGUGGAAAAGGCAAACCCCAGGUACAGUGUGAGGGGGAAGGUGAAGGCAGAGUGCACCUGACAGUUAGGGCUCUGGCGGCGAUCUGUAUGACACUACAGUGAUGGACACAUGUCAUGAUGUGUCUCUCCAGGCCCACAGAGCAUACAGGAGUGAACUCUAAUGUUAGCCAUGACGUUAAUUAUGAAUGCCAGUCGGUAGGAUGAGCUGUCGGGUUCUUGGUGGUGCUGGGUGUAGAACCCAGGGCUGUGAACUGAGCUAGAGCCCGCCACACUCUAGGUGACUAUGACCAGUUCUCUGUCAUGGCAGAGGCUCUAGCUUGGGGGUAUGUGGAUAACGGUGAAGGGUCCAUGUGGUGCGCUCGGGGGUGUUUCUGUAGCUUCUGCUCAAUUCUGCUAUGAAUCUAAAACUCCCUUUAAAUGUUUAGAAAAAACGUAUUUGCUAAGAGGUAAAACAAACUAAGCAAAGUUGUGGCCUUGCGUCCGGGUGUCAUGAAAGAGUGAUGACAGUGAUGUCAGGUGAGCUGAGGACCCUAUUUACCAGCCAAGGUGGGACCCGGGAACCCCGAAGAUGCAAGAGGUAAGGAAAAAUCUCAAGUGGACAGAAAUACAGAGCGAAGUAAAAAGACAUCAGUUUUUCUUGUGGCGGUGGCUGAGACGGGGCCUUUCAAUGUAGCCCAGGCUGGCCUCAAUGUCACAGAGAUUCCCCUACCUCAGCCUUUUGAGUGCCGGGGUACAGGCAUGAUUUACCAGACCAUACCAAAGGUGUCUAAGCCAAUGUUUUGCAAAAAGAUAGGAUUAGUGUAAUCAGGGCAAGUGAAGAUGGGUUGGAGAGAUGGUUUAGUGGUGGAGAGCACUGGCUGCUCUUCCAGAGGUCCUGAGUUCAAUUCCCAGCACUCAAAUGGCAGCUAACACCCACUUGUAACUCUAGUUUCUGGAGAGCCAACCUCCUCUACAAACACGUUGUGCACGGACACAAUCCAGUUACAACGAUACAUAAAUACACAUAAAAUAAAAAACAGCGAAUGACGACCAGCUGAGCUGUUCUGGGGAGGGGGCUCAGCUGGAGUAACAUGCCAAAGUCCUGGGUUUGGUCUCCACGACACUAUGAGCAGGAGGCAAGAGGAUCAAGUUCAAGGUCCCUCUGAACUUGCUUAGCAAGUUGAAGGCCAGUCUGCUACCUGAGAGACAAAGGCUCAAAAUACGAGGGCCUCCCAACCCUGGGAACAAUUCCAGUCAGAGAGUCCCAGAAGGCUCUGUAAGUCAGAGAGCUGGACAUUAACAGGCUGAAUGUGGCCAGGCUGUAGUGGCACACACCUUUGAUCCUAGCACUCAGGAGGCAGAGGCAGACAUCUUUAAGGUCCAGGCCAGCCUGGUCCACAGAGUGAGUUCCGGGACAGCCAGGACCACACAGAGAAACCCUGUCUUGAAAGCACAACAAAACCUCCAACAAAUGCAAGUGUGAUUUGCAGGAGGCUCAGCUCCAGCCAGAAGCACAGGGCUCCACUCUUGGUGGCGGAAGCAGAUGAUGUCAGCUGAGACUAAGCUUGGAGUGUGAUAGCCCUGAGCCUAAAAUGGGUGGGUCAAUCUCUGCAGCAUUCACUGGGGCAGAACCUGAAACGCUGAACCUCCAGGGGUCUACUUCACACCCACAGCCCCAUCCCUCUAGCAGCAAGAGUAUCAUUUAGGAAGCCUUAAAAGUUUCCACAGUCCUCUGCCUGCAUAGAUCUCUCUAUCAUGGCUAGGGCUCACCUAGGGAUCUCAAGAGGGCUAGAAAAAUCUGCCCAUCCCACAGGCAGGAAAGCUAAGUGUGGUCCUAGAGGCCCCUGGCACACACAGAAGGGAGGCAGCUUACUCUGGGAAGAGCUUGUCCAACACAGACCCAACACCAGCAUAAGCCUCGGAAAAGGCUGAACACAGGAACACUGCAGAGACCCCCGCUGCAGGGGACAGGAAGGUUCCAUGUUCUGAGGACCCAGAAAGGGUUCCUCAGGUUUCCUUUCCACUCCUACUGUGCUCCCUGCCAAACUCCACAUCCCCACUCUCUACAAACAAACAAACAAACAAACAAACAAACAAACAAACCUGGUCUUAUCUAGUAGCCCUGGCUAUAUAGAAGAGGCUGGCCUCAAGCGUGCAGUGAAUCUCCUCCUGCUUUGGUCUCUCAAGUGCUGUGAUUACAGGCGUGAGCCACAACCACCCCCCCCCCAAGACAUUUCAGAAAGAUGUUUCUUUCUUACAACAUGAGAACAGACCCCUGGGUGCACUGCCAUUGCAAGGGAGCAGAGGGUUGGGUAGCAACGGGUGCUGCCUGCCUCUGCUUUGACGCCACUUUUAGCGGUGUUUAUGUUCUAUUGUGUGCACGAAUUGUCCUACCUUUUAUUCCUUUUCAUACAGUCUUCUACUUUAUAUUUAUUUGUACAUUUCCAUUCAUUACUGGGCACUCUUUUUCCUUCCUUCUUCCUUCUUUCCUUUAGUAGUGUUUUGACUUUAUUUUGUGUUUCAAUUUUGUUGUUGGUUUUUGUUUGUUUUAAGACUGGGUUUCUCUGGCUAUCCUGAAAUUUGCUCUGUAGACCAGGCCUGCCUUGAACUCAGAAAGAUCCUCCUGCUUUUGGCUCCCAAGUGCUGGGAUUAAAGGAAUGGGCCACCACCACGUGUAUUUCAAUUUUUUAAAAGCUAUUUUUAAUUUUUUUACUCUUCUUAUAUUUACCUAAUUUUAAUUAAUUAAUUUAUUUAAUGUGAGUACACUGUCACUCUCUUCAGACACAUAGCAGAAGAGGGCAUCGGAUCCCAUUACAGAUGGUUGUGAGCCAACAUGUGGUUGCUGGGAAUUGAACUCAGGACCUCUGGAAGAGCAGCCAGUGCUCCUAACCACUGAGCCAUCUCUCCUGACCCCACUUAUCUAAUUUUUAAAAACAUUGUUAUUGUGUAUUGUGUAUUGUGCAGUGUGUGUGUGCGCGCGUGUGAGAUCAGAGAGUAUUUUUUUUUUCGGAGCUGGGGACCGAACCCAGGGCCUUGCUCUUGCUAGGCAAGCGCUCUACCACUGAGCUAAAUCCCCAACCCCAGAGAGUAUUUUUGAGUCAGUUCUCUCCUUCCAAAGGAUGCUAGGGAUUGAACCCGGGUCCUCGGGCUCAGCAGCAGGCAUUUUACAAAACUGAGCCAGUCCACUGGUCCUGAGUUUAAACUUUCUCAAAAUGGAGAAAUCCUUUUUUUUUCUUUUUCCACUUUUUCUAAUUUUUUUCUAAUGCAUUUUCUCUAUUCCGUUUCUUCUUUUCCUCUCAUUUAUUUAACCUUGCUUGUUCUCCAUUUCCCCUCCCUGCCUCUUUCUUUAUCUCUUACUCUCUCUACAGCUGCCUGAGAGAACUUUAACUUCCUAACACCUCUGCACGGUCUACAGUCAUUAACAAACUAACAAAGGUGCCCUUUCCUCACUCAUGCUGUUGCUUUUACAGUAGUUUUGUUUCCUCCUCUCUGAGUGGUGCUAGGGAUGGAGGCCUCUGGAGCAGGCAGACUGCUCAGUCAGCCAAUCUCCAGAUACCACAGCAGAGAGAGAAAUGGAGAGCCGUGAAGAGGCUCCAACGGGGCUCCUCCAAAGGCAGAGAUGCUUUAAGAGAUGGAGGGACAGCUCAGUGGUUGAGGGCACUGGCUGCUCUUGCAAAGGACCUGGUUCAAUUCCCAGCACCCUCAUGGCAGCUCACACCCCUGUAAUUCUAGUUCCAGAAGAUCCCAUAUCCUCUGCAGGUAUGUGGUGCACACAUACAUACCUGGGGGGGGGAAAACAUACACAUUCUAUGCAUUAUGUAUCUAUCUCUCUAUCCAUCUACCUACCUACCUAUGAUACUGUAAUAGUAAAAUCCUAGAUGACGAUGUCAAAAGCUUACUAGUAAAAAGACUCAGUUAUGGGGUUGGGGAUUUAGCUCAGUGGUAGAGCACUUGCCUAGCAAGCACAAGGCCCUGGGUUCGGUCCUCAGCUCCGGAAAAAAAAAGACUCAGUUAUUUAAAACAGGACACAAAGACAGGCAAAAUCAAGUUAGGAUCUGGGGAGGAAAAUCAGCAAAGCAGAGGAAAAGGUCAGCAAAGACAGAUGUGCGGAAAAAAUAGAAAUGUUGGAAAUGAAAAACUCAAUGAAUGCAAUAAAAGAACAGAGCAGAAAGCACAGCCGAUGGACGCUGAUGGAGCGGAGAAGACGUGUCAGGGAUGCAGGGUGGGCUAGCUAGUUUUAUGUCAGCAGACACAAACCAGAGGGGUUCUCAACUGAGAACGUGUCUGCAUAGGCUGGCCUGUAGGCAAGUCUGCUGGGCGUUUUCUUGGUUAAUGAUUGAUGGGGGAUGGCCCAGCCCACUGUGGUGGCCCCACUCCUGGUUGAUGGCCCUGGCUUGUUUGGGAAAGCAAAGCAGGAGGAGCAAGUCAGUAAGCAGCACUCCUCCUGGCUUCAGCUCCAGAACCUGGGCUCUUGCUCUGACUUCUUUUGAUAACCACUGUGGUGUGGAAAUGUCAACAAAACCCCCACCCGGAGUUAGCCAAGGUGUUUCAUCACAGCUGGACGCAGACAGAGGACUGGUGGCCAAAACACAACAGUGUAACAACACAGGGAAAAAAACAUGAGCUUGGCCACAAUGACUGGGAACUCUGAUGUAGGAUCAGGAGACCACGCCUGAGCAUCACAGGCUGGACGGAGCUGAGAUUAGACUGAAAGGCACACAGACUCUGAAUACAGCAGAAAAAUGCCAAGGCUAGAGACAGACAGACACCUAAAGGGAGCCCCAAACAAGCACAAAGAAGAAUCUCCUCAAGACCGAUUACAGGCAAGGUGGAAAAAUAAAAAGAAACACUUUUACACAGGCAGAUCCAUCGGAAAAACACCAGCUGGCCACAGCCAAGCAUGGAGGGAGCCUCUCGGGCCUGGACGUCUGUAACUAACUGCUGACAGGGCCCAGGAGAGCUACGGCUUGAAACUGACAGAAAAGUAAGAGCAUUUCAAGAUGAACACAAACUAAAGCGGUCCUCAAGCCAGCGCUGCAGGAAAGGUUUACAGGAGUAAGUCUCAGCCAGGAGAACACAUGAAAGGCUACAUCUCACCAGGAAGAGCUAGGCAGACAUCCAGGACGAUAAAAAAAAGCCCUUGGUGCUAACAGGGGAGAGAGAACAGGACAAACAAUAAUCCAGGCAACUCAAUGACAGCAAUUACCAAAUACCACUCAGUUAUGGCCAUUCAUGUAAAUGACCUCAGCCCAUCAGUAAAGACACACAGCUAAGCUGCUGGCUGGAUUAAAAAAAAUCAAUUGUGCUGGAAAGAUGGCUCAGUGGUUAAGAGCACUGACUGCAGGGUUGGGGAUUUAGCUCAGUGGUAGAGCACUUGCCUAGCAAGCACAAGGCCCUGGGUUCAGUCCCCAGCUCCGAAAAAAAAAAAAAGCACUGACUGCUCUCCCAGAAGUCCUGAGUUCAAAUCCCAGCAACCACAUGGUGGCUCACAAACAUCUGUAAUGGGAUCCCAUGCCCUCUUCUGGUGGUGUUUGAAGAUAGCUACAAGUGUACUCAUAUACAUAGAAUAAAUAAAUCUUUUGAAAAAAAUUAAUCUUCACCAAAGGUUACCACACAGACUGAGAGUCUAGGAUAGAACUCAGUCUGUCAACCAAAUAGAAGAUGGACACAAGCCGGUGUAGCAAUUCUAUGUAAUCAGUAAACUUCGAAACACAAUGAGAAGAAAUAAAAUGUUGCACACAGUUAAAGGAACAGGCUGGGUUAGUGGCUCGGUUGACCCAGUGCUUAUCCAGCAUGCAGCAGUCUCUGAAUUCAUUAUUCAGCAUGAGGGGAAAAGUCACUACCAUUGGGUCAGAGGCAUUAAUAAUAAAAAAUUGAGCUGAGGACAUAGCUCAGUUGGUAGGGUGCUUGCCUAGCAUCCACAAGGUUCUAGGUUGAUAACAACCACCACAGAAACAAGACAUUUAGUACACAUUUAAAUUCGAUGUCACCUUGGCUACAUAGUGAGUUUAAGGGCAGCCUGGGCUACACUUUCAAGGGAUCCAACACUCUCUUCUGGCCUCUGUGGACACCAGGCGCAAAACAGUGCACAGACAUGCAUGCAGGCAUAACCCUCCCCCCCACCACAGACAAAAUUAAUUUAAAAAAUGAUUGUAGAGAGAACCUCUUGUUUACUGUGUGGAAGCAUUACCUGUCAAUAAAAAUCAAUGGCCAAUUAGCAAAAGGCAGGAAAUAAGAGGUGGGACAUCCUGAAGAGAGAGAGGAACUUUGGGAGUUAGUCAGGUGCAGGAAGAUUCACCACUUGGACUUAUGAGAAAUAACUAACCAGCCAUGUAGCAGACAAAGAAUAAAAUAAGUGGGUUAUACGAGUUAUAAGCAGUCACAGAACAAGCCCGAGAGCCAUGGCCUGUGAAUAAAGAACCCUCCAAGUGAUUUUCCAGGAAAUCGGGGGGCAGGUGGAAAAGCCCAAGGUUACAGAAGGUCUACACUGGGAGUCCUGGACAAACCAGCCCUAAGAGAGAUGACACGUGUGUGUGCAUGUGUACGUCUGUUUCUAUGUCUGUAAAAGAGACACUCAGGAGCACAGUAAGCAUAGUGGACAGUCCCAAUACAACAGAACUUAAAUGCUCUGCUCAAAUCUACAUAAUGUAUCCAAAAUAAAGAUAAACAAGGAGGGGCUGGACACAUAGGUCCUCAGUAAACACUUGUUGCUCUCCAGAGGACUUGGUUUUGUCUCCCAGCACCCAUGUUGGGCAGGUCACAACCACCUAAACUCCAGCGGAUCCUACACCUGCUUCAGGCCUCCAUGAGUGCUAUAGGCACAUACGUACAUACAUACACACACAGAGACACACACAUACAUAGACGCACACACACAGACAUACAUACAUAAACACACACAUACACAGACACACAUGCACACAUAGGCAUACACACAUACAUAGGCAUACACACAUACAUAGACACACAUACAUACAUAGACACACACACAUACAUACACACACACACAACACACACACAUAUACAUAUACAUUACUUAAAAAAAGAAAAUCUAGCAAGGUGUGGUGUCUUUUACUCCAGCACUCAAGAGGCAGACACAGGCAGGUUUGUGAGUCUGAGGCUGAGGCUAUCCUGGUCUACAUACUGAGCUCCAGUCUAGCCAGGCUACAUAGGGAAACUCUAUCUCAAAAAAAUAUUUUGUUUCCACUACACCACAGGUAAGCAGAGUAUUUAUUCCAACAGAUACGGCAAACAUUCUUCUCAUGGGGUCUCUCCAAAACAGACUACAUUCUAGGCACAAAGCAAGUCUUCACAAAUACAAAAGAUUCAAAAUAAUUUCGCCUACCUUACUAAAUCAAAACGCUAAAAGUUGAAAUCAACAGUGAAAGAGACCACAUGGGUCCUUGGAGACCGAGGGAUGACACUGUGGAAUGACUGGUGAGGAAAUGGGCGGGGCUUUAAGGAAAAGCUUACAGCAAUCAUCAGCUUUUCACUGAAAUCAGAGAGUGCCAGGUGGCGGUGGUGCAUGAGGCCAGGCUAGUCUAUAGUGAGUUCCAGAACAAGGACAGCUAGAGUCACACACACAAAACCUGUCUCGAAAAACAAAACCAGACCAACAAAACAAAAACCAAUCAGGCUGAAGCAGUCAUAAAGUGCCUGCCGCACUUCUGCCAAAUUCUGCUGAACUUUUCAAGAGCUCACAGCACUUCUGAAGCUUCCCGGAAGUUCGCUACUGAGGUCGCUCUACAAAGUCAGUACUAUCCUGAGGCCAAACUAGGCAAGAGUCCAACAGAGAACAAAACUGCAGAGCAGUCUCCUGAUUAGCAGGGACGCAAGAGUUAUCAACACAUACUUGCAGGCCAGACUCAAGAAUACAUUACGGUCAUCACGCGCCAUGACCAAGGUGGUUUCAUCCAGGUGUGCAAGGUUAAAUGUGUGCAAAUCAAUAAAUGUAAUGUAGCGUGGAAAUGUAUAUCAAGGACAAUGAUGUGAUCACCUCGACAGACACAGAGAAGCUCAAGGUCCUUCAAGAGCACAGCACAGACCACACUAGGAUCAGAAGGAACACACAUCGACACGGUAAGUCCACAUGUGACAGACGUAAAGCCAACAUUAUACUAACAGAGGGACACUGAAGGGGGCGUCACAAUACCCAACCUCAGGCUGUGCCCGGUGGGACAGGAUGGCGGACCCGAGGGCCAAUGUGCUGCACACCUAUCUCUAAUCCCAGCACUCAGGCCAGAGGAUCAGGAGUUCAAGGCCAGACGUGGGGAGGGAGAAGAAUAACAGGUGCUGGUGAGGGUGUGGGGAACGAGGAACACUUGCUGCCAGUUGGGAUAUAGACCUGGUGCUGCCAUUACAGAAGUCAGUAUGGAGGUUCCUCAAAAACUAAAAACAAAACGAUAUGCCUAGCCAUGUUCACAGCUCAAUCAAAAUCAUGACAUCUGCCAGAAAAUGACGGACAUCUUUAUGUUAGGGCAGAUUCAGAGGACACUUACUUCAUGGUUUUUCACAUCCAUAAAAAGAGGAAGGGGCCGUGUUCGGGGAGGAAGAGACAGUAACUGACCUGACGGGGAGCUUAGAAGGGAGGGAAAGGGAUACUCAGACGGAGGAAGGAGACCAGCAAGGGCAUGGGAGCCGCUGGGAGGACCCAGUGGGCAAGCCAGGUAGCCUGAGUUCAAGCCCCAGGACCCGCACUAAGCAGAAGAGAACCAACUCCAGAGCUGUCUCUGAUCUCCAGCACCCACAGGGUGUGCACCCCCACUAUGCACAUACAUACUACUGCUAGUAAAUAAAGGGGGGGUGCAGAGAGGACAGAGGAACGGCGCGGAAGCUGGCUAAACAGUGACCGUACUUAUGAAAAUGUUACAAUGAAACCCAUUACUUUGUAUACUAGCUCAAAUUUUUAAAAAGACAGCUAGGGGGUUGGGGAUUUAGCUCAGUGGUAGAGCGCUUGCCUAGGAAGCGCAAGGCCCUGGGUUCGGUCCCCAGCUCCGAAAAAAAGAACCAAAAAAAAAAAAAAAAAAAAAAAAAAGACAGCUAGAAGGAAUGUGGGAAGUAGCUAUAUGUAUAAAAUAUAGGUAACAGCCAGGCACAGCAGCAGUCUUCAGAGGCAGGUGGAUCUCUAUGAGUUCAAGUCAGCUUGGCUUACAUAGAAAAUCCUAGGCCAGAGUUAUCUAGUGGGACCCUACCUCAAAAUAAAUAUCAAACACACACACACACACACACACACACACUAUAUAUAUAUAUAUAUAUAAUAUAAUAUAUAUAAUAUAUAUUUCCUUAGAAAGAGACCAAAAGUCACAUAAAGGAAAAUAAAACCCUGACUAAAGACUAGUACAUUUGCUGAAGUAAUUGUUCAUGCUCCACCCACAAGGUAUCCCAGGCCUGACCCUUCACUGCAUUAAACAUCCCCAGUUUGAGGAGAAUAUAACAUACAGCACGUUACUACAACUGCCGUAAAAUGUGGAGAAAGGAGAAAAUGGCCGAAUGUAACUGAGUGGGUCUCAGUCUACCACCAGGGCUCUCCUCAGACUCUGGAGUCUGGCUGGCCUUGACCCCGCUCUUCCUGCCUGGCACAGCCUAUUACCUAAUGUCAUUGUUGAGGAGACAGCCUGGGACCAAGGGCCAGAGGCCAGCAAUGGCACCAAAUACCCUCCAACACAUGGGACAGCACUGUCAGGGUUGUGUCUCUGUGCAAGAACACUGCAUAGCACGCCCAGUGAACGCCCUGGGCACCAUCCCUAACGUGGGAAAGAAAAGUGCCAAGGCUGAGAAGUUUCAGAGCCCGACAUGCAUGGAAUCAGUGGCUUACCCUCCACCCUGGGCCCUGGGUGCCAGCUGACAUGAGCAGCACAGCAGGGUUGCCAUUCAUUCCCUCUACCUCAAGAUGUCUGGUCUUGUGACAGGAACUACCGUGGGAAGCCAUUUUGGCUGAAAUCCCAGGAGGAAUUAAUGUUAUCUGCUAAUUCCAAUGGCCGUUGUCUGGCCAGGGCUGACUUCAGUCUAUACCAUCCACCCCUGCCUGGCUCUGCUGCUCCUACAGAGACCCCCAGGCUCUUAGAAGGUCUGGCCCAAGGGUCUGCAGAGGAUGGAGCCUACCUACUCAGAGUUAAAGAUGUCUCCAGCCUGGGAGGCUGAGAGUGGAAAUUCACCGGCUCAGCGGUUAGUCAGGAGUGAAUCCCUGCAGGAAAGCCCCGCCUGCCUAGGCUCAGCAGGUCACUCAUUCGCUGACUCAGUCGCUUAGCAAACACAGUGUUCACCACCCACACGCUAGGCCAUGCAUCUAGACUGACAUGGCCCCUGCCCUACUGAGGGGCAGACACUGCCUCCAGGGAGGCUCACUUGCUAUGGGCUUGCUUUCUUCCCAAGGGCUACUGUUCAAGGAACUCUUGUGUUGACCACAGGCUGAGGCUUCCAACAACUUCUCCAAAUUCACACAGUAGAGAACAGGCCAUGAUGCUCUUUCCUGCAGCCAGACCCCUGACAUGGGGUGAGAGAACAGGUGAGCAGGCCAGAGUCAGUGUCCGGGCCCAGCAGCUGCCCUCUGGGAAGUCAGCUCUGAGUAGACGGGCCUGGUUAAAAUCCUGGCGAUGCCAUUUUCUGGUUGUGACCUUGCACAGGUCAUCCCCUCUCUGAGCACCUGUUUCCCUCCUCUAUAAGUAAGUGGUGACAAGACUCAGUUUUUCUUCCCUAAGGUGUCCGAAAAGGGGAGGGCCACAGCUCCCUCUGGUGACCAAAGGCUAACCUUAUUCCCUCUGCAGGAGGAAGCCUGUUUAUGUAUAGGCAUAAAAUUUAUAAAUUUAUAAAUGUGCAAUAUUUUAAAUUUUAGAUAACAAACAUUAACAUUGUCAUUUCAUAAAAUGAAUUAGACACUAGAGAUAUUCCUCUGUAGUUAAGGGUCUGGGUCCACACUGUGUGGCUGUCACAGAAGGUAAGUGGGAAAUCUGAAGAUGCAUAAAAAUUAUCCUGCAACCCCUAAGCCAGUGGUUCUCAAGCUGCAUGACACAGAGACCUUUAAUACUGUCCUCAUGUCGAAGUGACCCCAACCAUAACAUUUUGAUCUACUUCACAACUGUAAUUUUCUUAUUGUUGUGAACUGUAACAUUAAUAUCCGUGUUUUAUGAUGCUCUUAGGCAAUCUCUGUGAAUGGUGACCUACAACUUGAGAAACAGUGCCCAAGAAUUGCCUUUUGAGUGGGCUUCAGAAGAUAGUGCCCUCUAGCGCCCUCUGCUGGUGGUUUCUUCAUUCUUCCUAGACAAAAGCCAAGACUCAUUAGAGCUUCCAGGAGUCAGAAGGGAGGUGAAGCAGUGGCUUGCACCAGAGCAUCAUGGAGGAUGUGGCCUUGGUUCCUGUUCCAUGUCCUGUACCUCCUGUGCUCCCUGACCUGACCUGUGGCUGUUGGGGAACAGGCCUCUGAUGCCCAAGUCACAGUUCUGCAGGCCACCUCCCCUAAACAGCCUACUGAGGACCCUCUGCAUCAGUCUCCAGCCCCAUGGUCCUAUCCCUGCUUCUCCUCCCUGACUCCUCGUCCAGUCUUGUUCCUCUUGUUGCCUUGAUGGCAGCCUGUCACUGCUGAAAACCAUGUAGCCCCCUAGUGGUGUCCUCUCUGGCUACUGGUGCUGUUGCAAGCAUCCUGGGGCACAGAGGCGGGCAGGAGCAGAGCCUGGCCCCAGGCGUCCGGUGUACAGACAUGCAAUGGGCACUUACAUGCUGGAUUAGUGUCUCCACGAUCUUGUAGCGGUCCGGCAUGUGCGUUACCAUGUCUGUCAUGUUGUCUUCAGAUGUCCUUACCAACGUCGGCCCAAAGACCAGAGCCAGGUUCCGGGGCUCCAUCUGGGUUGGGGACGGGGGAAAUCCUGGGAUCAAUGCUUUGAGCAUGACCUCCAAUUCCCUUCUCUCCUUCCUCUCUCCAGGUCACUGAGGCCACCAUCCCCAACUCUGACAUGUCCUUAGAUUAGGGGAUGAACAUCUCACGUGGGCACAAAGAGGUUUGCUGAACAGAGUUCUAGCAUGCCCACUGCUCACCUCACAGGCCCAUCGAGGGUAGCCCCAAGAGGUUAGUAAUAGCUGCGGGGAUCCUACAUGGCCCCCAGAACACAGGAGCUGGCUCUGUGAGGGAAUAGCUCUGUGGACAGCUGCACUGGCCAGUGUGCUAGGAAUAGGACCCUUAGGAAGAGGGAGGGCUCACAGGGCCUCGAUCGUGCAUAGGAAGCACCCAUCCCAGUGCAGCCUGUGCCCCCCAAAUUCCAUAGCGAGCAGCACACACCUUGUUUUUCUCUGAGUGGUCAGCAAUGGUCUUGAGAUGGCCCACGAGGAAUUUAAGUGUUUCAUAGUAGUGUCCUGGGAGAUCCCGGAUCUAAGGGACAAGAGGAAGGAAAAGGGAUCAGGUUAUGGUAAUCUCUCCAAUAAGCCUCCACAUAUGCUAAAGAGAUUCCCACUGUCCUACUGCAGGGAGCUAAAAUCCACCUUCCCGCUCCCUUCCUUGACACAGAUGGGAAACUGAGACUAUUGGUAGGGAGAGACUUCUUUGAAGCCUCUGUGAGAAUGGAACCCAGCUGCCUCUCCUGCCUGACAGUGCUUCAUUCCUCACCAGCUUCCUCAGGGUCUUCAUCCUCUCUCUGGAAUCUUCUAUCCGAUUGGCCUCGAUGAAGUCAUUGUAUUUGUCUAGAACACAGGAGAGAUCCUCAGUGGUGGGAGGCAACUCAUUCCCCACCCUUGGGAGCUGAGGGUCCCAGCCAGGAAGGGAAGACAUUGAUGCAGCCUGGGUGUUCACAUGGGAUGAAAACCAGAGCUUUGUGCUGUUCCCUGAAAAGGGUCCCCAAUGUCCCCUACUUUUGUCUCUAGGUUAAGGAUCCCAAGGCUUAGUAGGUCGGAAAAAAAAAAAGAGGAGCCUCAGACUCCUCACCUGCCCCACCAGUUCCCUGAGGGUCCUAAAGAUGUCACCAGGGAACUUUAAUACUGAAGGUAAUAAGCCCCUUUCCCCGCUCUCCUUGGGCCUACAGCCUCCAUCAGGUUAGCUGGGGUAACCUCAGCAAACAGGAGCUUUAUGUGACCAGGUCCUCAGUCCACCCUCAGCACCCCAAGAUAUAAAGCAAAGUUCAUCCAGUCGAGCCAUGUACAAGGACUGCCAAGAUUACGGUUUAGGGCUGGGCAAUGGCCCAGCGGGUGAAGAGCAUGAGGACCUGAACUCAGAUUCACAGCAUCACAUAACGAGCUUUGCUGUGGCAGCCCUGUCACCCCAGGACUGGGAGAGGAGACAGGAAGACCCCUGGAUCUCACUGGCAAUUUAGUCCAGCUACCUGGCAAGCCCUGGAUUCAUUGAGAGACCCUGACUCAGAAAAGAAAAUGGAGUGAUACUUGAAGAUACGGAAUGUCAACAGUUGGCUCUUGAGGAUGUACACGGGGCAGUGGGAAGGCCUGAGGGUCCCACAGGACAAGGGCUGUGUUGAAGGAUGCAGGCUUUCCUGAAUGCCUGAGAGAGACCAGUGAGAGAGCAACCAUCUGGACCUCAUGCCACACAAGCUCCUUUAGGUGUACGACAGAGUCUAAUAUGUAAAUUGAAAUACCAAAGGCGAGGGCCUGUGUGCUGACUCUGUCUAAAGGCGCUUGCUGCCAAGUCUAACAACCCCAGGGUCCCACAGAGCAGAAGAGGAAAACUGAAUCCUGCAAGCUGUCCUUUGACCUCUGCAUAAAUGACUUGGGAUGUCUGUGCACUUCCCUCCAACUAACUAACUAGCUAGCUAGCUAACUAACUAACUGUAAGAGACCAAAGGCAAGCCGGGCAUGCUGGCUCGUGCCUAUAAUCUCAGCACUCAGGAGGCUGAGGCAGGAGGAUUGUUUCAAGUAUGAAGUACACUGGGGAGGAUAGCAAGACCUUGUCUAAGAAAGAAAUAGAAAGGGGGGGGUGGCUCGGCAAAUAACUGCAAGAUCAGCAAAGCUCAGUGUGAAUCAUAUACAAAAUUCAUUCCCACAAAUCAAGAGCAAAGAAUAAAAAUAUAGGUGCAUAGUAUGAACCACAGAGGAAAUGGACAGAGCUGUAGAGAGAGGAUCUUGUCUAUGGAUGCAUCACCUGUCAAUUAAACACCUAUGGCCUAUAGGAAAGGGCACAGUAGAAGGUGGGACAUCCGGGAGGCAGAAAGCAUUCUGGGAUAGAGCGAGGAGUGGGAGAUUUGCCCUGGAAGAUGUAACACAUGGUACUAGGCACAGGCGACCAGCCACGUGGCAGAAUGUAGGUUAGAGUGAAUGGGCUAUACUAAGUUAUGGGCUACGCAGAGUCGUCGAAGUUUCUGUAAAUACAUGUUGAGUCUGAGUUUUAUUUCUGGGAGCAUGGGGCUGGGAGGAAGAACGUCCUAACUUCUACACAGAGCCAAUAAACUAACAUGCUGGCAGUAGGCCGGGAUGGAGACUUCUCAGAAGCCUGCGGCAGCUCCUUGUAGAGGGUGUCUGGGACCCUGAGAAGCAAAAGACACAUCCCUCCAGGGGACCCGCCGUCUGAAAUAAGAACGGGCCUGCAGUAGGCCAGGAUGGAGACAUCUCAGCCUACUGCUGGCAGUCCUUGUCAUCGUAUGUUGUCCCCAGCACUAACAGAAAGAGGUUUACUCUCCCUAGAAAUGAGGGUGAUACACUGAAACAAUGACGAGCUACCACCCCCACCCCCCACCCCCACUGAUCAGCCAAAGCCUCAAACACUAGUGACUAAGCUGCAGCUGCCGUCCACCGGCUGAGUGGAUGUCCAGAAGAGAAGAAAAGUAACAAACAAGGUGUGGUGGUGGAAUUCCAGAUACUCGGGAGGCAGAGGCAGGAGACAACCAGACGUUCAAAGCCAGUCUGAAUAACUCAGUGUCUCAAAUGAAAUACUAAAUGAGUGGAGAGAUGGCUCAGUGGUUAAAAGCAGUUGUUGCUCUUACAGAGGACCUGAGUUCAAUUCUCGUGGCACACAACCAUCUGUAACUCUAGUUCCAGGGCAUCCAAUGCCCUCUUCUAACCUCCGUAGGCACCAAGCAUAGACACACAUGCCCGCAGAACACCCCUACGUGCAAAAUAAAAUAAAUAAGUCAAAAGAAAAGAG